UACGUAGGGCGCAAGCGUUAUCCGGAAUUAUUGGGCGUAAAGAGCUCGUAGGCGGUUUGUCGCGUCUGCCGUGAAAGUCCGGGGCUUAACCCCGGAUCUGCGGUGGGUACGGGCAGACUUGAGUGAUGUAGGGGAGACUGGAAUUCCUGGUGUAGCGGUGAAAUGCGCAGAUAUCAGGAGGAACACCGAUGGCGAAGGCAGGUCUCUGGGCUGUAACUGACGCUGAGGAGCGAAAGCAUGGGGAGCGAACAGG
This 253-nucleotide ribosomal RNA is filed under the name uncultured bacterium. RNAcentral describes it as "partial 16S ribosomal RNA". It matches the Rfam family "Bacterial small subunit ribosomal RNA", at positions 524 to 776 of the family's 1533-position model. The record is from RNAcentral.